GAUGAACGCUGGCGGCGUGCCUAAUACAUGCAAGUCGAGCGAACGGACGAGAAGCUUGCUUCUCUGAUGUUAGCGGCGGACGGGUGAGUAACACGUGGAUAACCUACCUAUAAGACUGGGAUAACUUCGGGAAACCGGAGCUAAUACCGGAUAAUAUUUUGAACCGCAUGGUUCAAAAGUGAAAGACGGUCUUGCUGUCACUUAUAGAUGGAUCCGCGCUGCAUUAGCUAGUUGGUAAGGUAACGGCUUACCAAGGCAACGAUGCAUAGCCGACCUGAGAGGGUGAUAGGCCACACUGGAACUGAGACACGGUCCAGACUCCUACGGGAGGCAGCAGUAGGGAAUCUUACGCAAUGGGCGAAAGCCUGACGGAGCAACGCGGCGUGAGUGAUGAAGGUCUUCGGAUCGUAAAACUCUGUUAUUAGGGAAGAACAUAUGUGUAAGUAACUGUGCACAUCUUGACGGUACCUAAUCAGAAAGCCACGGCUAACUACGUG
Molecule: ribosomal RNA, 497 nt
Filed under: uncultured bacterium
Lineage: Bacteria
Description: partial 16S ribosomal RNA
Rfam family: Bacterial small subunit ribosomal RNA
Source: RNAcentral